GACGAACGCUGGCGGCGUGCUUAACACAUGCAAGUCGAACGGAAAGGCCCUGCUUUUGUGGGGUGCUCUAGUUGCGAACGGGUGAGUAACACGUGAGUAACCUGCCCUUGACUUUGGGAUAACUUCAGGAAACUUGGGCUAAUACCGGAUAGGAGCUCCUGCUUCAUGGUGGGGGUUGGAAAGUUUCGGCGGUUGGGGAUGGACUCGCGGCUUAUCAGCUUGUUGGUGGGGUAGUGGCUUACCAAGGCUUUGACGGGUAGCCGGCCUGAGAGGGUGACCGGCCACAUUGGGACUGAGAUACGGCCCAGACUACUACGGGAGGCAGCAGUGGGGAAUAUUGCACAAUGGGCGGAAGCAUGAUGCAGCAACGCAGCGUGCGGGAUGACGGCCUUCGGGUUGUAAACCGCUUUCGCCUGUGACGAAGCGUGAGUGACGGUAAUGGGUAAAGAAGCACCGGCUAACUACGUG
This 468-nucleotide ribosomal RNA is filed under the name uncultured bacterium. RNAcentral's name for it is "partial 16S ribosomal RNA". It matches the Rfam family "Bacterial small subunit ribosomal RNA", at positions 28 to 507 of the family's 1533-position model. The record is from RNAcentral.